Molecule: small nuclear RNA, 131 nt
Organism: Moschus moschiferus (Siberian musk deer)
Lineage: Eukaryota; Metazoa; Chordata; Mammalia; Artiodactyla; Moschidae
Gene: U1
Rfam family: U1 spliceosomal RNA
About the family: U1 is a small nuclear RNA (snRNA) component of the spliceosome (involved in pre-mRNA splicing).
Source: Ensembl
GAAGGUGGUUUUCCCAGGGCGAGGCUUAUCCAUUGCACUCCGGAUGUGCUGACCCCUGCGAUUUCCCCAAAUGUGGGAAACUCGACUGCAUAAUUUGUGGUAGUGGGGGACUGCGUUCGCGCUUUCCCCUG